AACGCACAUUGCGCUCUUUGGCAUUCCGAAGAGCACGCCUGUUUGAGUAUCGAAAAAACCAUCACGACUUGGUCUUGGAGUUCGCUCCGAUGGACUUUGAGUUGUGGAGUUGGGUUGUUCCUGCUUUGUUCGCGAAGCAGGCAAUCUCAAAUGCGAGCGCAAGGAAGCUGGGUCUCCUAUACUGGGAUCGCUGCCCGAAAAGGUACGAAUUGAGAUUUCUCAUUUUUCUUUCUUGCAGCUCCGAGCCUAGUGGAGAAACGGUCGACCGGCCACGGGGGUAGCCACUACUACCCCAUACGGAGGGUCGAGAGCGGUUGUCUCUCGAUUCUUCGAAAACUUGGUCUCAAAUCAGGUGGGAAAACCCGCUGAACUUAA
RNAcentral lists this unclassified non-coding RNA (375 nucleotides) under uncultured fungus. RNAcentral describes it as "partial contains 5.8S ribosomal RNA, internal transcribed spacer 2, and large subunit ribosomal RNA". Lineage: Eukaryota; Fungi. The record is from RNAcentral.